This is a long non-coding RNA of Myzus persicae (green peach aphid), 230 nucleotides long. RefSeq lists it as uncharacterized. The transcript has 2 exons. Lineage: Eukaryota; Metazoa; Arthropoda; Insecta; Hemiptera; Aphididae. The record is from RefSeq and is a predicted model, not a curated record.
UACCUGAUCUUGAUUAUUGAACUUUUUUGAAGAUGAUGAAACCGAUUUAUUAACAGGAUAUACAACCUAAAAACAAUCACAAAUUACAAGAUAAAUGUUUAUAUAGGUUUUUUUCAUCAUUUUGGAAGUGGGUCACAGGAUAAAAACAAAUAUUUUCAACAUUCAAUUUGUCAUAACCACCUUGGAUGAUGGAUCACAGUCAUUCACAAAUAGGAACAAAUAUUUAAGAC